Molecule: ribosomal RNA, 644 nt
Filed under: uncultured bacterium
Lineage: Bacteria
Description: bacterial SSU rRNA
Rfam family: Bacterial small subunit ribosomal RNA
Source: RNAcentral
AGAGUUUGAUCCUGGCUCAGGACGAACGCUGGCGGUGUGCUUCACACAUGCAAGUCGAACGAGGUAGCAAUACCUAGUGGCGGACGGGUGAGUAACACGUGGGAAUCUGCCCUAAGGUGGGGGAUAGCAGACCGAAAGGUCUAUUAAUACCGCAUAUGUCGCAAGAUGAAAGCAGUAAUGCGCCUUUGGAUGAGCCCGCGUCCGAUUAGCUAGUUGGUAGGGUAAAGGCCUACCAAGGCUCUGAUCGGUAGCUGGUCUGAGAGGAUGAUCAGCCACAAUGGGACUGAGACACGGCCCAUACUCCUACGGGAGGCAGCAGUGGGGAAUUUUACGCAAUGGGGGAAACCCUGACGUAGCGACACCGCGUGAACGAAGAAGCCUUUUGGGGUGUAAAGUUCUGUCAGCAGGAACGAAAAAAAUGACGGUACCUGCAGAGGAAGCAUCGGCUAACUACGUGCCAGCAGCCGCGGUAAGACGUAGGAUGCAAGCGUUGUCCGGAUUCAUUGGGCGUAAAGAGUUCGUAGGCGGUUUAUUAAGUCUGGUGUUAAAGACUGGGGCUCAACCUCGGGACAGCACUGGAUACUGGUAGGCUGGAGUGUGGUAGAGGCAAGCGGAAUUCCAGGUGUAGCGGUGAAAUGCGUAGA